GGAGAGAUGGCUCAGCGGUUAAGAGCACUGUCUGCUCUUCCAGAGGUCCUGAGUUCAAUUCCCAGCAACCACA
This 73-nucleotide transfer RNA is filed under the name Mus musculus (house mouse). RNAcentral describes it as "tRNA-Ser". Lineage: Eukaryota; Metazoa; Chordata; Mammalia; Rodentia; Muridae. The record is from RNAcentral.